AAAGCAUAUAAUGAACGAGCUUAGUCACUUUUGUGGCAUCACGACUUGCAUAUAUGGGUAUCUCAAUAAAUCUGCUGGGAGUUGAUCAAUCAAGCUACGACAAAUCGCGUGGGAGAGCCAUUGUUAGGAUAUCUAACUAAGAAAGAAACAGAGAUUUUGCGUGAAGCGAGGGAAUGCCAAGAAGCUAAAACCCGACCAACAAAACUGAUUAUCACCACUUAUUAGGAGAGUAAGGUGGAACAAAAGUGCGUGGAUCAUGAAGUAUGCUAAGAAGGAUUUCAAUCGUGCUAGGAGUGUUUGGGAGCGCGCACUGGAUGUCAAUUGAAGCAACUAAAGGGUGGUGUUACACAGCAUGUCCAAGAUGUGGUCAAUACUGAGUGGAUUUGUAUGCGUGACGGCACACAGAAAAAGCGAACACAAUGUACCGAAUCAUUUCGACAAUCUCGGACAGCACGGAAAGCAUGUCGACAGUUAUUUUCUAUGGUGCAGGGAGACAGCUGUUAGCAAUGACAUGCGAGGAGUUGGCUGCGACUGAGGACCCCAUGAAAAAGUUGUACU
RNAcentral lists this long non-coding RNA (558 nucleotides) under Helianthus annuus (common sunflower). The record is from RNAcentral. Lineage: Eukaryota; Viridiplantae; Streptophyta; Magnoliopsida; Asterales; Asteraceae.